GGACUACCCGGGUUUCUAAUCCCGUUCGCUCCCCUAGCUUUCGCGUUUCAGCGUCAGGUGCAGUCCAGGUGGCCGCUUUCGCCACUGGUGUUCCUCCGGAUCUCUACGCAUUUCACCACUACACCCGGAAUUCCACCACCCUCUACUGCCCUCCAGUUCAGCAGUAUCGGACAACCUCUCCAGGUUGAGCCCAGAGAUUUCAUGCCCGACUUGCCAAACCGCCUGAACGCGCUUUACGCCCAGUAAAUCCGGAUAACGCUCGGAACCUACGUUUUACCGCGGCGGCUGGCAC
Molecule: ribosomal RNA, 292 nt
Filed under: uncultured bacterium
Lineage: Bacteria
Description: partial 16S ribosomal RNA
Source: RNAcentral